GGAAGGGUGCCAGAGUGGUCGAAUGGACUCGCCUGGAAAGCGAGUGUACCUCCGGGUACCGCAGGUUCGAAUCCUGUCCCUUCCG
RNAcentral lists this transfer RNA (85 nucleotides) under Candidatus Dojkabacteria bacterium. RNAcentral describes it as "tRNA-Ser". It matches the Rfam family "tRNA". From Rfam's summary of the family: Transfer RNA (tRNA) molecules are approximately 80 nucleotides in length. Their secondary structure includes four short double-helical elements and three loops (D, anti-codon, and T loops). The record is from RNAcentral.